GCGGGGAAGAGUAGCUUGCUACUUUACCUAGCGGCGGACGGGUGAGUAAUGCUUAGGAAUCUGCCUAUUAGUGGGGGACAACAUCUCGAAAGGGAUGCUAAUACCGCAUACGUCCUACGGGAGAAAGCAGGGGACCUUCGGGCCUUGCGCUAAUAGAUGAGCCUAAGUCGGAUUAGCUAGUUGGUGGGGUAAAGGCCUACCAAGGCGACGAUCUGUAGCGGGUCUGAGAGGAUGAUCCGCCACACUGGGACUGAGACACGGCCCAGACUCCUACGGGAGGCAGCAGUGGGGAAUAUUGGACAAUGGGGGGAACCCUGAUCCAGCCAUGCCGCGUGUGUGAAGAAGGCCUUUUGGUUGUAAAGCACUUUAAGCGAGGAGGAGGCUACCGAGAUUAAUACUCUUGGAUAGUGGACGUUACUCGCAGAAUAAGCACCGGCUAACUCUGUGCCAGCAGCCGCGGUAAUACAGAGGGUGCAAGCGUUAAUCGGAUUUACUGGGCGUAAAGCGCGCGUAGGUGGCCAAUUAAGUCAAAUGUGAAAUCCCCGAGCUUAACUUGGGAAUUGCAUUCGAUACUGGUUGGCUAGAGUAUGGGAGAGGAUGGUAGAAUUCCAGGUGUAGCGGUGAAAUGCGUAGAGAUCUGGAGGAAUACCGAUGGCGAAGGCAGCCAUCUGGCCUAAUACUGACACUGAGGUGCGAAAGCAUGGGGAGCAAACAGGAUUAGAUACCCUGGUAGUCCAUGCCGUAAACGAUGUCUACUAGCCGUUGGGGCCUUUGAGGCUUUAGUGGCGCAGCUAACGCGAUAAGUAGACCGCCUGGGGGAGUACGGUCGCAAGACUAAAACUCAAAUGAAUUGACGGGGGCCCGCACAAGCGGUGGAGCAUGUGGUUUAAUUCGAUGCAACGCGAAGAACCUUACCUGGUCUUGACAUAGUAAGAACUUUCCAGAGAUGGAUUGUGCCUUCGGGAACUUACAUACA
RNAcentral lists this ribosomal RNA (976 nucleotides) under Acinetobacter sp. HPCKc-Ca(d). RNAcentral describes it as "bacterial SSU rRNA". It matches the Rfam family "Bacterial small subunit ribosomal RNA", at positions 66 to 1036 of the family's 1533-position model. Lineage: Bacteria; Pseudomonadati; Pseudomonadota; Gammaproteobacteria; Moraxellales; Moraxellaceae. The record is from RNAcentral.